AUAUAAAUAUAUAUAUAAAUAUUAUAUAUAUGAGUUUCGUGCCCUACUCAUCUAAUCUACUUUAUCUUAGGUUGCCUCUAGGGUCUUCAUUUUUUAUUUUUAUUUUUUAUUUUUUAUUUUUUUUGGGUCUUCAUUUUUUAACAAACAUUCAUUAAAUACCAAUGUGUCCCAGGCCUUGCUCUUAGGACUAGGGGUUCAGAAGUCAGACCAAGGAGGUCACGUGUGAGUGGGGAGAGAGAGCAACAAGAAAAUGCAUGAUUGUGUCACGUUCCCACGAGGAAACUGGUAUGGCAUCCUGACUGCGGUAGUCCCAUGGUGAAGAAGCUGUACAAACUCUAGCUCGACACAGCACUGGCAUUCUGGAGCAGCGCUCUGGGAUGGCGGGGGACAAAGGCUGCAGGCACCUGGAAAGCCCAGGCCCCUGUCGUUUAACCCCUGUAGUGAGAUCUUCAGCAUAGCCACAUCUACACAUGAAACCUUCUCCUCAAUUGUGGGAGGCCCUCAUUGGACUAUUUUUGUUGCCUUUAGGGUUGUUAGCAUAACUCACUUUUAAUCGUGGUUGCAAGUGUACCUGCUGCUGUGAGUUGACUUCAUGGACACCUCUGUGGAAAGCAGACUUGCUAAGUCACCAUUGGGACAAGGGAACUCUGAAUCCUGAGGUGCAGAAUGAGGACAUCUCUGACAGUGUGGCAGGGCUGCAUAACAAGUGUCAGCAGUGCCACACUCUACCAGGGAGCACCCCACCUGAAGUACAACGUGGAGGAAAAGCUUCACAAGACUCUUGUAUAUGUAACUUCUUCAUAUGGAAAAAAAAAAUUCUGGUAGUCAGGACACACCAGAGAAUUCCAAUGUGUCUGACCUCCUCAGCUCGAAGGAAGCUUUCCCUUCCCCUGCUGGAGAUAGCUGGAUUUGUAGGACUUGGAUGAGAUAGAAGGAAUUACCUAUGCUAUUGGUUACCACUGUGGUUUGAGGAGAGGGUGAAUUGCACCCCACAUCUGAUGCAGCUGGGUAGUCAUGAAGCCUCAAAUUGCCUCCAGAUGAUGUUGGAAUCCUUUAUACUCAGCAAUUCACAAUUAAGAUUGAUCACUGGGUGUUAUUCUGUAUGUUGGCAAAUUGAACACCAAUAAAAAAUAAAUUUAUUAUUAAACAAUAAAAAGAUUUUUGUCUUUCCUCUUCCUUUGUCUUCGGCAUUUACCUCCAUUGUUCUAAGGAACUGCUCACAGCUUGGUCCACUCCAUGGGUGGGCUCUUCUGAAUUUCAGUCAUGGUGCCACUGUUUUCAGGGAAACCCAAUCUUAGAGGCCAGGCUGGCUCUGGAAGGGGUACCCCAGUCCUGGCAGGGAGGGGUCCUAGAGAUGAGGAUUUCACAGUGCACUUUCUUGUGUGUUUUUAGAAUUCCUUUCAUUUUCUAGGCCAGAGGAGGGGUGUACCAUCAUAUCAGUCUUUACCCCUUCCUCGGCUAAUUAGUGUUGAGUUCUCCCUAUCAGAAACGUCUGCAGAGCUGAGUUUGCAGGUUUUUUCCCCAUUGUGUAUCAUCACUGUUGCUCAUUUCCUCCUGCUAAUUUUUCUUCAUCUCGGUAAUUAGUUGUGUUUGCAGAGAAUGGUUUAGGGAUGUUGAGAUCAGAGAGAUGGCAUUUGUCUAUCUUCUGGAAAGACUGCCUUCCUGGUAGUUCAAAGAUGGGGAGGAAAAAACAUUGAGAAAUUUUGACCUUGGUUUCACAGAAUUCAGAUUUAACAUGGUUGUGUCACUUGUUUUUCUGAAUAAUAAAACCACCUAGCCAUCCCCUGCAUAUCUGCUUUUACAAGCUUCUUGCUUUGCUUAUAAAAUAAGAAAUCCUAUAAAUGUGCAAAUGAUGUUAUACUUGGGAAAUAAAUGGAUGUUCUAGACGUAUUCCGCUGGAGCAUACUUGUCAUGAGACUAACUUCUGGAAUAGGUUAAAAUACAACAGUCCUAGGUGGAUUGUGUUAUCAAUUUUUCAUAUAUUUAAAAUACUGCACUCAAAUGUCAUGCACCUUCCAAAUUAAUUAUUUGCUGCAUCCUAUGUUACCAAAGUGAGGAGUUUAGCCUGGGCCAAAGUUUUAACUUCUCAGCGCUUCAUCUGAUCUUUCACAAAGUAGAGUGAGGCUAGCCCAGUAUCUGAAUGGUAAAAUUAAAGAAUGAAAACUAGGGGUAGAAAGAAGGAGUAAGGA
This 2189-nucleotide long non-coding RNA is filed under the name Canis lupus familiaris (dog). RNAcentral's name for it is "lncRNA (ENSCAFG00030000051.1)". Lineage: Eukaryota; Metazoa; Chordata; Mammalia; Carnivora; Canidae. The record is from RNAcentral.